UAAUACGUAGGCAGCAAGCGUUGUUCGGAAUUACUGGGCGUAAAGAGUGUGUAGGCGGUGCCGUAAGUUUGGCGUGAAAUCUCCCGGCUUAACUGGGAGGGUGCGCCGAAGACUGCGGUGCUUGAGGGUUGGAGAGGAAAGUGGAAUUUCUGGUGUAGCGGUGAAAUGCGUAGAUAUCAGAAGGAACACCUGUGGUGUAGACGGCUUUCUGGACAACUCCUGACGCUGAGACACGAAAGCGUGGGUAGCAAACAGGAUUAGAUACCCUGGUAGUCCACGCCCUAAACGAUGCAUACUUGGUGUGAGCCAUUCACUUGGUUCGUGCCGGAGCUAACGCGUUAAGUAUGCCGCCUGGGGAGUACGGUCGCAAGGCUG
This 375-nucleotide ribosomal RNA is filed under the name uncultured bacterium. RNAcentral describes it as "bacterial SSU rRNA". It matches the Rfam family "Bacterial small subunit ribosomal RNA", at positions 521 to 896 of the family's 1533-position model. The record is from RNAcentral.